AUAUAGUGUCCAAGAACAAGAACUAUGUGAAAGGGGUCAGGGAUGGAAUGCAAACACAAGACUACAUAGGGGGGUGGCUCCUAGGGCCAGUAAGUUGAUGCCCCUGUCACUCACUCUACAAUAUCCCAACCUCUGCCCACCUGCCCAUGUGAGAAAAUUACACUUCCACAAAGGAGACAAGGUGGGGUGGGCUCUGAUACAUGGAAUCUUUUCUUACUCCUAGGUUACCAGCAGGCCCUGUGGGCACUUUGGGACUGUGGAAGAGGCAGCACUGGGACUGGUCCUCAGCAGCUGCCAGUAGCAAUACCAGGAUGGCAGGGGGAGUGCUGCUUCCUCUCCUCCAGCCUCUCCUGAGGGUCUAAGGACCAACAGGAAUUGGAGGUUGUGCUGGGAGAAAGCCCCCUAGACCUGUGAGCACUGCCUAAUGAUGUCACAAAGAACAGAGGAGCCCCCCUAGGAAAAAGAAAGUGACCUCUGAGGAUGCUACAAGACCACCGAAUUAGGGGUCCCCCUCCUCCCAGCCUGAGCCCCUUGCUGGCCCCACAUAGAAAACAUCCAGAUGGGUACACACACAGAUCACCAUGAAAGUGUGUUUUAUUUAAGAGUCCAGAGUGCUGAAGAUCCAGAAUUAGAAGACACCUAGUGCCGUUUCUGCUUUGCCCUGUGGGGAGCACCUGGCCAAUGAGCCCAGCCCAGGUGGGUACAAUGAGGCAGAAGAGCCUGGUUUUUCCACAGGAGCCCCAGCUGCAGUGUGCAGGUGGGUGUGUGAAAGGCUUCCCAUGCAGAGGUCCAGAAGAUCUGGGGCUUCCGGGUAGAGGCUGGCGGCUGGUGUGAGUGACCCCUCCAGUUCCAGGGCACACAGUGGGGAGCAAGGGAUAAAACUGUCCCUCCUCAGGCAAACAAGAUGGAGAAGAGGAAGAAAAAGUCAACAAAGAAAGUGAGGUUCAGGAAGCCAGAGGCAGAACACUCCACACACUGUGCUCUUCUCAGAGGUCUCUCCAGGAGUGGCCCCUUUCCUGUAGAGGUCAGGGUACCUCUCUAACAGGCCAGGCCACAGGACAUCCUUGCCUGAAGAGAGAGGGACCUCACAACAUCAAAUCCCUUCUCCCACCCAGACAGUCCACAGGAAACUGGAAAAUCUGGAAGCAGAGGUGAAUAGAGAGAGCUAGUAUCUUCCUCCUAGCCACUAAGCAGAACAGCAGAUAGGCAGAGGUCAAUCAAUGCCAGAAAGGAAAGGGAAUUCUGUAGAUCUUUCUAGAGAAAGCAGUACCAGAACCCCAAAGGCACUGUUAAUAGGUUUUAACAGAAGUAUAUUGAUUGCAGGAAAUAACACUGAUCCUGGGGGAGGGGGGUUAGGGAGCUCCGAGGAAUGGGAAAUUGACAUGAGAAGUCAGUUUCACAUAAGCUCUGGGAUAAGCCUACUCCCACCCACCACCCAUCCUCCACACACACAUGUGUGGAAGGGGCCUUCCUACAGUCCUUCCAGGGUCAGGUGGCUUCCUAAGUCACCCUAGUCCAGACCAGCUUCCAGACCAGACUGUCCAGUACAGUCCCUGUCUGCUGUCUUCGGCCAAAUCACCAGUCAUUCACAUCACAACAGUGGCUUUUCCAAAUUGUAUUUCUGGGACCAACAAUGUUGGAGCCAUAACAGGGCAGAGAAACACACAAAGGAUGUUACUAGCCACAGACAAUCUAGUGCCUGCUUCCUCCUCUUUAGAGAAAGAGUAAUACACACACACACACACACACACACACACACACACACACACACACACUCACACUCACUCACUCACUCACUCACUCACUCACUCACUCACUCACUCACUCACAUAGGGCUUGUCCUGAUACUCAAAAUUCUUUGUGAACUAGCCAUGCCUGGACCGGCUAAUCUCUUUUUAAAGAGGAAAGAGAAAGUGUCACCAACACCUGAAGACUUCUGUUGGGGCAUUUUUCCCUUUGAGCUUUCACCUGAUCAUCCCCAAAUUAGUAAGGCCAGAGCUUGAGAGAGCCCAGCAGACCCCUCCCCACAGAGCUGUCCAGAACAUGGGAGCAGCAGAUGUCAGAAACUCUAAACAUAUAGCUGAACACCCUUUGUGUAUUUUUUUUAGGCUCUUGAUAACUACUCAACUCUUUCACUUUUGUCAACAGUUGCUUUAAAAUUACUAUUUGGUGGCCAUCAGGCCAGAAGAGAUGACAUCUGAGAGGAAUAUCCGGAGGUGGAAGAGGUGACUUUCCUUCGAUGACAUUCUGAGCAGACGGACGUUGGACACACACCAUCAUACCAAAGUUCCAUAAAUAAUGUUUGAUUGGGUUUCAACAUCUUGGACAAGAUGGCUUUCAGAUUCUUCCCUCCCCAGGCAUUGCUGACUGACUUUUCACAGGAUGCAAACACAGCAGAAAACAGGUUUUACCUGCAAGAGAAAGAAGAAAGCACUGAGCAGCUCCUGGAAGAGUCCUGUGUCCAUUUUAAUCCCUUCAAAACUGCUUCCCUCUGGACACAGUCCCACUCCAAGCCCCCUGUAUGAGCUUCCUGGAAGCUAACUCUUCCCCUGCCCUCAGCUCCAGGCUCUUAGGAGUUUUCCUGUCAGCCCUCACACCCCCACCCACUGGACACAAACAGAAUCGCUAAUACUCCGCUUCAAGUUCCUUCUUCCCAGUAUGUAUAUCUAUGGCUCUUUACACCAUGGGCCAGCAAACCCAUUUCUGUCAAAGUCCAGAGAGUAUUUUCAACUCUGCAGGUCCUAUAGUCUCUGAGACUAAAGUGAUUGUUCCAAUAAAGCUUCGUCAUUAUAUUAUGUU
Erinaceus europaeus (western European hedgehog) is the source of this 2799-nucleotide long non-coding RNA. RefSeq lists it as uncharacterized. The record is from RefSeq and is a predicted model, not a curated record. The transcript is spliced from 2 exons. NCBI's taxonomy places the organism in Eukaryota, Metazoa, Chordata, Mammalia, Eulipotyphla, Erinaceidae.